RNAcentral lists this transfer-messenger RNA (370 nucleotides) under Microbacteriaceae. Its description in RNAcentral is "Aquiluna sp900100865 Standard tmRNA". It matches the Rfam family "transfer-messenger RNA". From Rfam's summary of the family: Bacterial tmRNA, also known as 10Sa RNA or SsrA, is named for its dual tRNA and mRNA-like properties. Its role is to liberate the mRNA from a stalled ribosome. The record is from RNAcentral. RNAcentral also lists the same sequence under 1 other name. Lineage: Bacteria; Bacillati; Actinomycetota; Actinomycetes; Micrococcales.
GGGGAUGAUCGGUUUCGACAUUGUAGUAAUGAGUGAAAGAAGCGGGUCGAGGAUGAGCACUUAUCUCGUAAACGAUGUGUUCAAAACUAUAGGUGCCAAUACAAAGCGCGCCGACUUCGCCCUAGCUGCAUAGCUAGCCCCGAAGUCCGUUUAACCGGUUGUGAUUUCGUGCCGGAUCUAGACGUCAUUUAGAAAUCUUGCUGGUUAGCUGGGUUGCAGGGCUGAUUGGGACUUUUACUGUAACUGGGCCUGUCAGCGUAGUUGCUUCAAACAAAUGCUGGGGCCAAGUAGAACGAAUAACGAAGCUACACCCGUAGAAGAAUCAUGAAUGUUGCAUUGGACCCGGGUUCGAUUCCCGGCAUCUCCACCU